Molecule: ribosomal RNA, 497 nt
Filed under: uncultured bacterium
Lineage: Bacteria
Description: partial 16S ribosomal RNA
Rfam family: Bacterial small subunit ribosomal RNA
Source: RNAcentral
GAUGAACGCUGGCGGCGUGCCUAAUACAUGCAAGUCGAGCGAACAGAUGAGGAGCUUGCUCCUCUGACGUUAGCGGCGGGCGGGUGAGUAGCACGUGGAUAACCUACCUAUAAGACUGGGAUAACUUCGGGAAACCGGAGCUAAUACCGGAUAAUAUAUUGAACCGCAUGGUUCAAUAGUGAAAGACGGUUUUGCUGUCACUUAUAGAUGGAUCCGCGCCGCAUUAGCUAGUUGGUAAGGUAACGGCUUACCAAGGCAACGAUGCGUAGCCGACCUGAGAGGGUGAUCGGCCACACUGGAACUGAGACACGGUCCAGACUCCUACGGGAGGCAGCAGUAGGGAAUCUUCCGCAAUGGGCGAAAGCCUGACGGAGCAACGCCGCGUGAGUGAUGAAGGUCUUCGGAUCGUAAAACUCUGUUAUUAGGGAAGAACAAAUGUGUAAGUAACUAUGCACGUCUUGACGGUACCUAAUCAGAAAGCCACGGCUAACUACGUG